Long non-coding RNA from Seriola aureovittata, 554 nucleotides. RefSeq lists it as uncharacterized. Lineage: Eukaryota; Metazoa; Chordata; Actinopteri; Carangiformes; Carangidae. The record is from RefSeq and is a predicted model, not a curated record. The transcript has 3 exons.
UUUGUUUGUCAGCAGGAUUACACAGAACACCAUUUCCUCUGAACCUGGUGGGGGUGACGGGUCCUGGUCCAGGGACAAACCAAGUAAACUGUUGGUGCAGAUCUGAAUCAUCUACUAUGAAUUUGAAUUUUUUUCAUUGAAGUCUGGUGUAUGUUGGUGUGUAUAUUUUAUAAUUCUUUUUCGUGAAAUUCCCUUUUUAACUCAAAACACCUUAAAGAAAUUCAAAUAGGACAAACGGACAGUUAAAUUCAAACGAAGAAUUUAUAAAAUUGUUUUAAACACAUAAAAGAAAUAAACACACACUAAAUGUGUCCCAAAACACUUAAAAGUGCUUCCCCCUACAAUAUAAACACUGCUGCUAGGCAGCGUUAUGACCAAAACAAAUGGACGGUUCACUUGCUGCUGCGAGCACAGUAAAAUAAAAGCACGUGAACAGGAUCCUCACAUCACUGCAGCAGAACUGGUUCAGUUUUCUGGCCUGAAGUGUUUUCAUCACUAAAGCUAAAGCUGCUACAGGCCUGAUAGUCAGACUCACCACUCAGCUCCUCUUCCAG